CAAGUAAAACGAUUAGAGCAUAUGUUAGGGGAGAAGUAGAAGAAACAUUUAUGCUUCCUUCCAUACACUUUUUCACGAAAACUUUAAUUUUUGUUGUUGAACCUCAUUUGUUGCGAGAAUUUAGAAGCUCAAUAUAAUACUUCAGUCCGUCUGUAGGAAGCUCUCCCUCAUAAUUAUUUAUUUGGUCGGAAAUCUUAGUGAAAUAUACAGUAGGAAAUUGGUUUUGACUUAACAAAUUUUGAAUCUCGAGUGAAUAGAGAAACACCAGUGUUUGGUGAAUGUACGAUAGGGAUUGAGAAUCAAGUUCAACAUCUUCCAUAGCGUCAAACACUUUGAAAACAUCCAGAAGGGUAUUGGGAGAUACAAAGUUUUUUAAACCUUCCUCAUUACUAUCUUUUACAAGAGAACACUGUUUUUGAUAAUAAUUUAGGAUAGCAGUUUUUAUAUUUAACAGUGGGCAUUCUUCCAAAGUAUCAAGUAUGUAGGAAAGACGGACACUUGGUAACUGAGAAUCCAGACAUUUUGUGACUAUAGCAUUGCAUGUAACACGCAGCCAAGGAAGUUCUGUCGAAGAAGCCAUAAAAUGAUAUCCAUGGAGCAAACUGGAGAGAUGCUCGAGUUCGGAGUCGGGAACCUGGAAAUGAGGUAAAUCCAACAAAUA
Molecule: non-coding RNA, 661 nt
Organism: Schizosaccharomyces pombe (fission yeast)
Lineage: Eukaryota; Fungi; Ascomycota; Schizosaccharomycetes; Schizosaccharomycetales; Schizosaccharomycetaceae
Source: the annotation of a GenBank genome assembly